RNAcentral lists this ribosomal RNA (253 nucleotides) under uncultured bacterium. RNAcentral describes it as "partial 16S ribosomal RNA". It matches the Rfam family "Bacterial small subunit ribosomal RNA", at positions 524 to 776 of the family's 1533-position model. The record is from RNAcentral.
UACGAAGGGGGCUAGCGUUGCUCGGAAUCACUGGGCGUAAAGGGUGCGUAGGCGGGUCUUUAAGUCAGGGGUGAAAUCCUGGAGCUCAACUCCAGAACUGCCUUUGAUACUGAGGAUCUUGAGUUCGGGAGAGGUGAGUGGAACUGCGAGUGUAGAGGUGAAAUUCGUAGAUAUUCGCAAGAACACCAGUGGCGAAGGCGGCUCACUGGACCGGCAUUGACGCUGAGGUGCGAAAGCGUGGGGAGCAAACAGG